AGUGAACGCUGGCGGUAGGCCUAACACAUGCAAGUCGAACGGCAGCACAGUAAGAGCUUGCUCUUACGGGUGGCGAGUGGCGGACGGGUGAGGAAUACAUCGGAAUCUACUUUUUCGUGGGGGAUAACGUAGGGAAACUUACGCUAAUACCGCAUACGACCUACGGGUGAAAGCAGGGGAUCUUCGGACCUUGCGCGAUUGAAUGAGCCGAUGUGGGAUUGGCUAGUUGGCGGGGUAACGGCCCACCAAGGCGACGAUCCGUAGCUGGUCUGAGAGGAUGAUCGGCCACACUGGAACUGAGACACGGUCCAGACUCCUACGGGAGGCAGCAGUGGGGAAUAUUGGACAAUGGGCGCAAGCCUGAUCCAGCCAUACCGCGUGGGUGAAAAAGGCCUUCGGGUUGUAAAGCCCUUUUGUUGGGAAAGAAAAGCAGCAGGUUAAUACGCCGCUGUUCUGACGGUACCCAAAGAAUAAGCACCGGCUAACUUCGUG
Molecule: ribosomal RNA, 492 nt
Filed under: uncultured bacterium
Lineage: Bacteria
Description: partial 16S ribosomal RNA
Rfam family: Bacterial small subunit ribosomal RNA
Source: RNAcentral